AAUAAAAUAAACCACUUUAUUUCAAACAUAUAUAUGUAGUACAAGAACAGGCCAUCAUAAAGGCAACAAAACGAUACAAUUGGAAUCACAACAAUAUUGAAGCACAAAAUUAAAGUACUCCUCCAAAGCAGGUAGCUCUGCCUAUAGUUAUUCUUUUAGAGAAAAAGAAAAAAGCAGGAUUAUUGAACUGAAUGGCUGAUCACGGAUUUCUUUUUCUAAGAUUUUCUGGAUAGGCAGUUAUCACUUGGAGGGUUUCAGUAAAAUGACAAACUCAAACAAAUAACUUCAAGACACCAAUAGGAAGACACUGGACAUAUUCUUGUAACGUGUGGUUUUAGAAGACAUAGUCCAAGGAAAUCAGUAGGAAUAAGGAGGUGCAAUCGCUAAUGGAGAUGACUUGUAAUGCAAGGUGGCAGGCGUGAAGGUAACUAAUAGCAAGGAUGUGGCUCAGCGGUUUACUUGUAUGGUGGAGGUGGUGGUGAGGAAUACUUAUAUGGUGGAGGUGGUGGUGAGGAAUACUUAUAUGGUGGGGGAGGUGGUGAAGUAUACUUGUAAGGAGGUGGUGGAGGUGAAGAAUACAUGUAUGGUGGAGGUGGUGGGGAGGAGUACUUGUAAGGUGGUGGUGGUGGUGAUGAGUAGACAUAUGGCGGUGGCUUGUACACAUAAGGAG
RNAcentral lists this long non-coding RNA (670 nucleotides) under Coffea arabica (coffee). RNAcentral's name for it is "long non-coding RNA (CARA_LNC001735)". The record is from RNAcentral. Lineage: Eukaryota; Viridiplantae; Streptophyta; Magnoliopsida; Gentianales; Rubiaceae.